CCUACGGGAGGCAGCAGUCGGGAAUUUUGCGCAAUGGGCGAAAGCCUGACGCAGCAACGCCGCGUGAGGGAUGAAGGCCUUCGGGUUGUAAACCUCUUUUCUCAGGGAAGAUAAUGACGGUACCUGAGGAAUAAGUCACGGCUAACUACGUGCCAGCAGCCGCGGCAAUACGUAGGUGGCAAGCGUUGUCCGGAUUUACUGGGCGUAAAGAGCGCGCAGGCGGUCGUUCAAGUCGAGUGUGAAAGCCCCCGGCUCAACUGGGGAGGGUCAUUCGAUACUGAUCGACUCGAAGGCAGGAGAGGGAAGCGGAAUUCCCGGUGUAGUGGUGAAAUGCGUAGAUAUCGGGAGGAACACCAGUGGCGAAGGCGGCUUUCUGGCCUGUUCUUGACGCUGAGGCGCGAAAGCUAGGGUAGCAAACGGGGAUUAGAUACCCCGGUAGUCCUAGCCGUAAACGAUGGACACUAGGUGUUGGUGGUAUCAACCCCGCCAGUGCCGUAGCUAACGCAUUAAGUGUCCGCCUGGGGAGUACGGCCGCAAGGCUAAAACUCAAAGGAAUUGACGG
Molecule: ribosomal RNA, 562 nt
Filed under: uncultured bacterium
Lineage: Bacteria
Description: bacterial SSU rRNA
Rfam family: Bacterial small subunit ribosomal RNA
Source: RNAcentral